UGAAACCCUGCACUUACAAGCUGUGGAAGCACAUUUCUUGUGUGACCGCGUACUUUUUGUAGAACGGGCCAACGAGUUACGUUAAGUAGCAAGGUUAAGCACUUAAGGUGCGGAGCCGUAGCGAAAGCGAGUUUUAACUGAGCGUUCAGUUACUUGACGUAGACCCGAAACCGGGCGACCUACCCAUGAGCAGGAUGAAGCGAAAGUAAAAUUUCGUGGAGGUCCGAACCCACGAGCGUUGAAAAGCUCGGGGAUGACUUGUGGGUAGCGGUGAAAUUCCAAUCGAGCCCGGAGAUAGCUGGUUCUCCCCGAAAUAGCUUUAGGGCUAGCCUCAAGGUGAGAGAUACGGAGGUAGAGCACUGAAUGUCCUAGGGGGUAUUGCACCUACCGAAGACUAUCAAACUCCGAAUGCCGUCAUCUUAUACUUGGGAGUCAGACUGUGGGUGAUAAGAUUCAUAGUCGAAAGGGCAACAGCCCAGAUCGUCAGCUAAGGUCCCUAAAUGUAAGUUAAGUGGUAAAGGAUGUGGGAUUGCACAGACAACCAGGAUGUUGGCUUAGAAGCAGCCACUCAUUCAAAGAGUGCGUAAUAGCUCACUGGUCGAGUGAUCCUGCGCCGAAGAUUUCCGGGGCUAAAACUUACUACCGAAGCUACGGCAUCAGUAAUGAUGGGUAGGGGAGCUUCCCAUACGGGUUGAAGCAUGACCGUAAGGACAUGUGGACAGUAUGGGAGUGAGAAUGUUGGCAUGAGUAGCGAGAUGUGGGUGAGAAUCCCACAGGCCGUAAACCCAAGGUUUCCAGGGGAAGGUUCGUCCGCCCUGGGUUAGUCGGGACCUAAGCUGAGGCCGAAAGGCGUAGGUGAUGGACAACAGGUUGAUAUUCCUGUACUACCGAUAACCGUUUGAGAGAAGGGAUGACACAGUAGGAUAAGCUAAGCACACUGUUGGUUAUGUGUGCCCAAGCAUUGAGGCAGUCAAAGUAGGCAAAUCCGCUUUGAUAAUGCUGGGAUGUGAUGGGGAGCGAAAUUUAGUAGCGAAGUAGCUGAUUUCACACUGUCAAGAAAAGUCUCUAUCGAGGUUAAAGGUACCCGUACCGCAAACCGACACAGGUGGGUGAGGAGAGUAUCCUAAGGCCAGCGAGAGAACUGUUGUUAAGGAACUCGGCAAAAUGACCCCGUAACUUAGGGAUAAGGGGUGCCACCAUCAGGUGGCCGCAGAGAAUAGGCCCAAGCGACUGUUUACCAAAAACAUAGGUUUCUGCUAAGUCGCAAGACGAUGUAUAGGAGCUGACGCCUGCCCGGUGCUGGAAGGUUAAGGGGAUCUGUUAGAGCAAUCGAAGCAGUGAACUUAAGCCCCAGUAAACGGCGGCCGUAACUAUAACGGUCCUAAGGUAGCGAAAUUCCUUGUCGGGUAAGUUCCGACCCGCACGAAAGGCGUAACGAUUUGGGCACUGUCUCAACAACAGACUCGGUGAAAUUGUAAUUCCGGUGAAGAUGCCGGAUACCUGCGACAGGACGGAAAGACCCCAUGGAGCUUUACUGUAGCUUGACAUUGGGUCUUGGUACUACAUGUACAGGAUAGGUGGGAGGCUUUGAAACCAGGACGCCAGUUUUGGCGGAGCCAUCCUUGGGAUACCACCCUUGUAGUACUGGGACUCUAACCAUAGGCCAUGAAUCUGGUCUUGGGACACUGUCAGGUGGGCAGUUUGACUGGGGCGGUCGCCUCCCAAAAGGUAACGGAGGCGCUCAAAGGUUCUCUCAGUACGGUCGGAAAUCGUACGUAGAGUGUAAAGGCAAAAGAGAGCUUGAUUGCAAGACAUACAGGUCGAGCAAGGAUGAAAAUCGGACUUAGUGAUCCGGUGGUUCUGCGUGGAAGGGCCAUCGCUCAACGGAUAAAAGCUACCCUGGGGAUAACAGGCUUAUCUCCCCCAAGAGUCCACAUCGACGGGGAGGUUUGGCACCUCGAUGUCGGCUCAUCACAUCCUGGGGCUGUAGUAGGUCCCAAGGGUUGGGCUGUUCGCCCAUUAAAGUGGUACGCGAGCUGGGUUCAGAACGUCGUGAGACAGUUCGGUCCCUAUCCGUCGCAGGCGUAGGAAAUUUGAGAAGACCUGUCCUUAGUACGAGAGGACCGGGAUGGACGUACCUCUGGUGUACCAGUUGU
RNAcentral lists this ribosomal RNA (2156 nucleotides) under Clostridioides difficile. RNAcentral's name for it is "partial 23S ribosomal RNA". It matches the Rfam family "Bacterial large subunit ribosomal RNA", at positions 551 to 2724 of the family's 2925-position model. The record is from RNAcentral. Lineage: Bacteria; Bacillati; Bacillota; Clostridia; Peptostreptococcales; Peptostreptococcaceae.